ACGCUCGACACCUACGGGGGGCAGCAGUGGGGAAUAUUGCACAAUGGGGGAAACCCGUGAUGCAGCGACGCCGCGUGAGCGAAGAAGUAUUUCGGUAUGUAAAGCUCUAUCAGCAGGGAAGAAACUGACGGUACCUGACUAAGAAGCACCGGCUAAAUACGUGCCAGCAGCCGCGGUAAUCUGAGGCGGGCGUGGCGAAGGC
This 202-nucleotide ribosomal RNA is filed under the name uncultured bacterium. RNAcentral describes it as "partial 16S ribosomal RNA". It matches the Rfam family "Bacterial small subunit ribosomal RNA", at positions 328 to 544 of the family's 1533-position model. The record is from RNAcentral.